Neodiprion fabricii is the source of this 529-nucleotide long non-coding RNA. RefSeq lists it as uncharacterized. The transcript has 3 exons. NCBI's taxonomy places the organism in Eukaryota, Metazoa, Arthropoda, Insecta, Hymenoptera, Diprionidae. The record is from RefSeq and is a predicted model, not a curated record.
AGUCUGCUAUAACAUAUCGCAAAAAAAAAAUCAAAUCGGAGAGAUCGACUUGGAAAGUUGGACUUUCUUUGUCAGAAAACAAAGCUCAAGGUCAACGAACGAAACCCCAAACGGAAAUUCGAAGUUGAUACAUUCAUUUGUUCACUCCAAUUGUCACAAGCUGACUGGGUAAACGGGCGAUUGAUAUCGUGCUGAUAUCUGCGAGUGUAACAAGUGUUUUCAACGGGUCAACGACGAAAGGCGAGAAGUGACCCGACCGAGAUUCGAUGGUCGAUAAAAUUGGUUCGUUACGGGGACGCGCGGCAAACGGCGCGGGUUAAUCACCAUAUGUAUCCGAAAAUUACAAGAUAUACGAAAGUUCUCAAGCUGCAUUCAACAUUUAUUUGUGUUGACCCGAGCAAACACGUAUAAGACGCAAUGAUGUAAUGACCCCGUUUAUCCAUGUCGUCGGGAAAUAGCGAUUUGAAUCGGUAUGUACACAGCAGAACAAUGUUGGCGUUCAUACGUACGUACAUAUGUAUUAUAUAUA